GAUGAACGCUAGCGGCAGGCCUAAUACAUGCAAGUCGUACGGCAACACAGUUGCGAGCAAAUCGCAACCGGUGGCGAGUGGCGCACGGGUGAGUAACGCGUAUGUAACCUACCCUUCUCCGGGACAUAACUCCGCGAAAGCGGUGCUAAUAUCCCAUACCAACUCAUCAAGACAUCUUCUUGAGUUGAAAGCAGCAAUGCGGUGAAGGAUGGGCAUGCGUCCCAUUAGCUGGUUGGUGAGGUAAUGGCCCACCAAGGCUACGAUGGGUAGGGGUUCUGAGAGGAAAGCCCCCCACACUGGUACUGAGACACGGACCAGACUCCUACGGGAGGCAGCAGUAAGGAAUAUUGGGCAAUGGUCGAAAGACGUGACCCAGCCAUGCCGCGUGCAGGAUGAAGGCCCUAUGGGUUGUAAACUGCUUUUAGCCGGGAAUAAACACCCGUUUUAUAACGGCCCGAAGGUACCGGCUGAAUAAGCAUCGGCUAACUCCGUGCCAGC
RNAcentral lists this ribosomal RNA (498 nucleotides) under uncultured bacterium. RNAcentral's name for it is "bacterial SSU rRNA". It matches the Rfam family "Bacterial small subunit ribosomal RNA", at positions 28 to 512 of the family's 1533-position model. The record is from RNAcentral.